CCUACCGAUUGGGUGUGCUGGUGAAGCGCUCGGAUUGGUCGCGGGCCUGCGGGUCUCCCGCAGCCCGCGACCGAGAAGUUCGUUGAACCCUCCCACCUAGAGGAAGGAGAAGUCGUAACAAGGUU
RNAcentral lists this ribosomal RNA (125 nucleotides) under Prototheca blaschkeae. RNAcentral describes it as "partial small subunit ribosomal RNA". It matches the Rfam family "Eukaryotic small subunit ribosomal RNA", at positions 1681 to 1801 of the family's 1831-position model. Lineage: Eukaryota; Viridiplantae; Chlorophyta; Trebouxiophyceae; Chlorellales; Chlorellaceae. The record is from RNAcentral.